GAACGCACCUUGCGCUCCUUGGUAUUCCGAGGAGCAUGCCUGUUUGAGUGUCAUGAAAUUCUCAACCUUUCAAGUUUUUAUUUAAGAGCUUGAUUAGUGUUGGAUUAUGGAAGCAUGCUGGUUCUAGUUAAAUCAGCUCUUCUUAAAUGCAUUAGCAAGAUUAAUCACUAAAAAUCAUCUUUGAUAUGAUAAUUAUCUAUAUCAUUAAUGAAACAGUGUUUGUCUUUUCUUGCUUCUAAUUGGCGUGUCUCUUUGGAGACCGAUGCUUGAAUCAUUUGACCUCAAAUCGAGUAAGACUACCCGCUGAACUUA
RNAcentral lists this unclassified non-coding RNA (312 nucleotides) under Entoloma ochromicaceum. RNAcentral's name for it is "sequence contains 5.8S rRNA gene". The stretch from base 1 to 53 matches the Rfam family "5.8S ribosomal RNA", at positions 102 to 154 of the family's 154-position model. Lineage: Eukaryota; Fungi; Basidiomycota; Agaricomycetes; Agaricales; Entolomataceae. The record is from RNAcentral.